This 1346-nucleotide ribosomal RNA is filed under the name uncultured bacterium. Its description in RNAcentral is "partial 16S ribosomal RNA". It matches the Rfam family "Bacterial small subunit ribosomal RNA", at positions 28 to 1381 of the family's 1533-position model. The record is from RNAcentral.
GACGAACGCUGGCGGCGUGCUUAACACAUGCAAGUCGAACGGAAAGGCCCUGCUUUUGUGGGGUGCUCGAGUGGCGAACGGGUGAGUAACACGUGAGUAACCUGCCCUUGACUUUGGGAUAACUUCAGGAAACUGGGGCUAAUACCGGAUAGGAGCUCCUGCUGCAUGGUGGGGGUUGGAGAGUUUCGGCGGUUGGGGAUGGACUCGCGGCUUAUCAGCUUGUUGGUGGGGUAGUGGCUUACCAAGGCUUUGACGGGUAGCCGGCCUGAGAGGGUGACCGGCCACAUUGGGACUGAGAUACGGCCCAGACUCCUACGGGAGGCAGCAGUGGGGAAUAUUGCACAAUGGGCGGAAGCCUGAUGCAGCAACGCCGCGUGCGGGAUGACGGCCUUCGGGUUGUAAACCGCUUUCGCCUGUGACGAAGCGUGAGUGACGGUAAUGGGUAAAGAAGCACCGGCUAACUACGUGCCAGCAGCCGCGGUGAUACGUAGGGUGCGAGCGUUGUCCGGAUUUAUUGGGCGUAAAGGGCUCGUAGGUGGUUGAUCGCGUCGGAAGUGUAAUCUUGGGGCUUAACCCUGAGCGUGCUUUCGAUACGGGUUGACUUGAGGAAGGUAGGGGAGAAUGGAAUUCCUGGUGGAGCGGUGGAAUGCGCAGAUAUCAGGAGGAACACCAGUGGCGAAGGCGGUUCUCUGGGCCUUUCCUGACGCUGAGGAGCGAAAGCGUGGGGAGCGAACAGGCUUAGAUACCCUGGUAGUCCACGCUGUAAACGGUGGGUACUAGGUGUGGGGUCCAUUCCACGGGUUCCGUGCCGUAGCUAACGCUUUAAGUACCCCGCCUGGGGAGUACGGCCGCAAGGCUAAAACUCAAAGGAAUUGACGGGGCCCCGCACAAGCGGCGGAGCAUGCGGAUUAAUUCGAUGCAACGCGUAGAACCUUACCUGGGUUUGACAUGGAUCGGGAGUGCUCAGAGAUGGGUGUGCCUCUUUUGGGGUCGGUUCACAGGUGGUGCAUGGCUGUCGUCAGCUCGUGUCGUGAGAUGUUGGGUUGAGUCCCGCAACGAGCGCAACCCUUGUUCACUGUUGCCAGCACGUUAUGGUGGGGACUCAGUGGAGACCGCCGGGGUCAACUCGGAGGAAGGUGGGGAUGACGUCAAGUCAUCAUGCCCCUUAUGUCCAGGGCUUCACGCAUGCUACAAUGGCUGGUACAGAGAGUGGCGAGCCUGUGAGGGUGAGCGAAUCUCGGAAAGCCGGUCUCAGUUCGGAUUGGGGUCUGCAACUCGACCUCAUGAAGUCGGAGUCGCUAGUAAUCGCAGAUCAGCAACGCUGCGGUGAAUACGUUCCCGGGGCU